RNAcentral lists this long non-coding RNA (447 nucleotides) under Ananas comosus (pineapple). RNAcentral's name for it is "long non-coding RNA (ACOM_LNC014523)". The record is from RNAcentral. Lineage: Eukaryota; Viridiplantae; Streptophyta; Magnoliopsida; Poales; Bromeliaceae.
UUCUUCACCCUUCACAUCCUGGAAAAAUUCUAGAAUGCAACGGAUAUAUUAGUGACGUGCCGUAACAAAUUAAUCAAAUAUUUUUUUAUAAAAAUAUAUAUUUUAUUAUGAUUGUAAAAAAAAUAUUUUUAUUAUAUUUUUGUUUGACAAAAAGAAAUGUGAUUGGUUUGUUAUUGAUGACGUGGUGUAAGUGUGACAGUGUAGAAUUCCUCCACAUUCUGAGUGAAUUAAUAUGUACCAGAUCAGUAGAAAAAAAAAAGAAGCACCCGAUCGUUUCUAGAGCAAGUGGCAAAGAGUUUGAUGGUUGAUACCCGAGAUCCCAAGUUUGAAUCCUAGUUUCAAAUUUGAAUUCUAGUUAAUUCAUAUUUUUAGCUAAAUUUAUUUCUAAAUGAAAUAAACGAAACGGGUAGCGUGCUACCUAUCUCUCAAAAAAAAAAAAGUCUCCAA